UAGGGAAUCUUCGGCAAUGGACGAAAGUCUGACCGAGCAACGCCUCGUGAGUGAAGAAUGUUUUCGGAUCGUAAAACUCUGUCGUUAGAGAAGAACAAGGACGUUAGUAAUUGAACGUCUCCUGACGGUCUCUAACCAGAAAGCCACGGCUAACUACGUGCCAGCAGCCGCGGUAAUACGUAGGUGGCAAGCGUUAAUCGGAAUUACUGGGCGUAAAGCGCACGCAGGCGGUUGAUUGAGUCAGAUGUGAAAUCCCCGGGCUUAACCCGAGAAUUGCAUCUAAUACGGGUCAGCUAGAGUCUUGUAGAGGAGGGUAGAAUUCCAUGUGUAGCGGUGAAAUGCGUAGAGAUGUGGAGGAGGACCGGUGGCGGAGGCGGCCCCCUGGACAAAGACUGACGCUCAGGUGCGAAAGCGUGGGGAGCAAACAGG
RNAcentral lists this ribosomal RNA (429 nucleotides) under Chloroflexota bacterium. Its description in RNAcentral is "Chloroflexi bacterium partial 16S ribosomal RNA". It matches the Rfam family "Bacterial small subunit ribosomal RNA", at positions 355 to 776 of the family's 1533-position model. Lineage: Bacteria; Bacillati; Chloroflexota. The record is from RNAcentral.